Molecule: ribosomal RNA, 468 nt
Filed under: uncultured bacterium
Lineage: Bacteria
Description: partial 16S ribosomal RNA
Rfam family: Bacterial small subunit ribosomal RNA
Source: RNAcentral
GAUGAACGCUGGCGGCGUGCUUAACACAUGCAAGUCGAACGGAAAGGCCCAAGCUUGCUUGGGUACUCGAGUGGCGAACGGGUGAGUAACACGUGGGUGAUCUGCCCUGCACUUCGGGAUAAGCCUGGGAAACUGGGUCUAAUACCGGAUAGGACGAUGGUUUGGAUGCCAUUGUGGAAAGUUUUUUCGGUGUGGGAUGAGCUCGCGGCCUAUCAGCUUGUUGGUGGGGUAAUGGCCUACCAAGGCGUCGACGGGUAGCCGGCCUGCGAGGGUGUACGGCCACAUUGGGACUGAGAUACGGCCCAGACUACUACGGGAGGCAGCAGGGGGGAAUAUUGCACAAUGGGCGCAAGCCUGAUGCAGCGACGCCGCGUGGGGGAUGACGGCCUUCGGGUUGUAAACUCCUUUCGCUAGGGACGAAGCGUUUUUGUGACGGUACCUGGAGAAGAAGCACCGGCUAACUACGUG